UGCGUAGGCGGCUAAUUAAGUCAGCGGUGAAAGUUUUGGGCUCAACCCAGAAAUUGCCAUUGAUACUGGUUAGCUUGAGUAUUGGAGGGGUACAUGGAAUUGAUGGUGUAGCGGUGAAAUGCAUAGAUACCAUCAGGAACACCGAUAGCGAAGGCAUUGUACUGGCCAAUAACUGACGCUGAUGCACGAAAGCAUGGGUAGCGAACAGGAUUAGAUACCCUGGUAGUCC
This 229-nucleotide ribosomal RNA is filed under the name uncultured bacterium. Its description in RNAcentral is "partial 16S ribosomal RNA". It matches the Rfam family "Bacterial small subunit ribosomal RNA", at positions 568 to 796 of the family's 1533-position model. The record is from RNAcentral.